Desertifilum sp. is the source of this 37-nucleotide non-coding RNA. Lineage: Bacteria; Bacillati; Cyanobacteriota; Cyanophyceae; Desertifilales; Desertifilaceae. The record is from Rfam.
AUUGCAAUUACUCCUAAUCCCUAUUAGGGAUUGAAAC